UGUCCAAUGCGGGAAUCGAACCCGGGUCGUAGUGGUCGAAAACCAAACGUUUUAACAAACCUUCCACCAAACCCACCAGAC
Molecule: non-coding RNA, 81 nt
Organism: Cordylochernes scorpioides
Lineage: Eukaryota; Metazoa; Arthropoda; Arachnida; Pseudoscorpiones; Chernetidae
Source: the annotation of a GenBank genome assembly